CAAAAGCCAUGCGCCUGUUGUUGCUGUUCACGGUACUUCCUUCGUUAGUAUCAGUGCCGGCUGAAAUCGACUAUGUGACAGACUAUGAUGAGUAUAGCUCUGAAGAAAACUUCACUACAACUACACAGACACCUGACACGCGAAUAACAAGGAGAGGUGGAAAAGCUGUUCCGAAGAUGGACUAUGUGGCUGAUAUAAAUAAGGCGUUCGCAACCCAUUUGAGACAAUAGUUUACCAGACCAAGGAUGACCUAUGUGCAGUUUUUUAUAUGAAUUUUCACCGUGACUUAAACGAUCCAGAAACAUGGAUAGAAGUAAGGGUUAGAAACUCCUCAUUGGAAAAAGGACCAGAUACCGAAUGUCUGGAUCGUUUCAACAGCUAUGCUUCCGGUCAAAAUGUAACUUAUAACUAUACAAUCGAAUGCCAGUGCUUAUUUCGCCAAAAAACAGAGUGAAAUGUCACAAAUGUAGAUAAUGUAAACAAGCUUGAACGUUUAGUAGGCAGUACGAUUAUUUUAAAGCAUCUGAGCAGUCUCUCUAAGUUUCUGACACGAAGUCAAAGUGUCUGCCAUGAUACUUAUUUCAUAUAGGUAUGAUGUUCAAUAAAUAUGAGCAAUAUAUUAC
RNAcentral lists this long non-coding RNA (623 nucleotides) under Rhipicephalus microplus (southern cattle tick). RNAcentral's name for it is "uncharacterized LOC119187286". Lineage: Eukaryota; Metazoa; Arthropoda; Arachnida; Ixodida; Ixodidae. The record is from RNAcentral.